UUUAAAUAUUAUAACAUAAAACAUGUUACUGGUAUACCACACAAUCCUACAGGACAAGCAGUGGUUGAGAGAUCUAAUUGUACUUUAAUGGAAAUGCUCUAUAAACAGGCAGGGGGAACCAAGACCCCCCAAAAACAGAUUACAUAAUGCUUUACUAACCUUAAACUUUCUUAAUGCUAAUGAGACAAUAGAAAAAAUUGCUGAGCUAAUUCAGUUGGUGUACUGAUGGGGAAUGUACUGUGUAUGUUUAUCUUAUUGGUUGUUAAAUAAAAUACUGUUUGGCCAAUGAGACAGCAAGUAUAUGGGAGCUAGAAGUCAAAGAGGAUUCUGGGAAAUGUAGUAGAGAAGUGCUGAUCCGGGCAGGAAGUGACAUAGCAAGGAGACUCAUAUUUGAGCGAGGAGCGAGGAGAAAUGGGAAGUUCCCUCUUUCCCCUUUGCCUCCUCCAGCAGCAGGAUGUUAUCCACCAGCAAGGAGGGACGCCAAUAAGGCGUCUGAUAAGUUAAGUCUUAUAAAAUAUAUAGAUGUUUGAUAUUUGAGACUGAGCUAACAGAUGAGAAUCCUAGUCAUUGGCCAAGCAGUUUUGAACCUAAUACAAGUUUCUGUGUAUUCAUUUGGGCCUAACUCAGGCGGGCGGCUGGUGAAAAGCUUACACGUGGCGGUGGGGCUCAGCGGCUUUUGGCGGAAAGAUUUAUUGUAACAGUGUACUUCAAGGAUGCAUUGACUUCUCUAUGGAAACCAGGAUAUGUGUUACAUUGGGGUAAGGGUUUCACCUUUAUUUCUUCAGGUGAAGAAAAGCUUUGGACACCACCAAAUUGAUCAAGAUCUGAUUUGAACAGGAGAAACCUCUUGAUGAGGAGAAAUGAUAGGCCAUCCACCAAUGCAUAUCCAACGAGUUGUAUGGAGACCUCACAAAGACAAUGGAGGACUCUUGCAUGUCAAACAUGGAAUGAUGCCCAGGAAGAAGAUCAUGGGCCUCUGCAGAUGUCCAGGGAUAAAUACUAC
Molecule: long non-coding RNA, 1003 nt
Filed under: Cricetulus griseus (Chinese hamster)
Lineage: Eukaryota; Metazoa; Chordata; Mammalia; Rodentia; Cricetidae
Description: lncRNA (ENSCGRG00000026270.1)
Source: RNAcentral